Non-coding RNA from Triticum aestivum (bread wheat), 84 nucleotides. Lineage: Eukaryota; Viridiplantae; Streptophyta; Magnoliopsida; Poales; Poaceae. The record is from Rfam.
AAGUGAGAUGAUGAAUGAUUUAUUUCCCUAUUGGUUUGAUUGGCCAGCAUAAUGGCCUAUAUACUGAAUCUAGUCUGAUCGUCA